Molecule: ribosomal RNA, 327 nt
Filed under: uncultured eukaryote
Lineage: Eukaryota
Description: partial 18S ribosomal RNA
Rfam family: Eukaryotic small subunit ribosomal RNA
Source: RNAcentral
CCCUUAGAUGUUCUGGGCCGCACGCGCGCUACACUGAUUCAUGCAACAAGUUUUGUCCUUGGCUGAUAGGCCUGGGUAAUCUUUGAACGUGAAUCGUGAUGGGGAUAGACGAUUGCAAUUAUUCAUCUUCAACGAGGAAUUCCUAGUAAACGCAAGUCAUCAGCUUGCAUUGAUUACGUCCCUGCCCUUUGUACACACCGCCCGUCGCACCUACCGAUUGAAUGGUCCGGUGAAAUCUUCGGAUCUGAGAGAUGUCUGAUUAAUUUCGGACGCCUUUUGGAAAAGUUGUUUAAACCUUACCAUUUAGAGGAAGGUGAANUCGUANCA